AACGUAGGAGACAAACGUUAUCCGGAGUUACUGGGCGUAAAGGGCGUGUAGGCGGUUAGUUAAGUCUGGCGUGAAAGCUCUCAGCUAAACCGGGAGAGGUCGUUGGAUACUGGCAAACUAGAGGACGGUAGAGGCGUGUGGAAUUCCGGGUGUAGUGGUGAAAUGCGUAGAGAUCCGGAGGAACACCAGUGGCGAAGGCGACACGCUGGGCCGUACCUGACGCUAAAGCGCGACAGCAUGGGGAGCAAACGGG
Molecule: ribosomal RNA, 253 nt
Filed under: uncultured bacterium
Lineage: Bacteria
Description: partial 16S ribosomal RNA
Rfam family: Bacterial small subunit ribosomal RNA
Source: RNAcentral